GGCGGCGUGCCUAACACAUGCAAGUCGCACGAGAAAGGGGACUUCGGUCCCUGAGUACAGUGGCGCACGGGUGAGUAACACGUGAAUCAUCUACCUUCGAGUGGGGAAUAACUGAGAGAAAUCUUAGCUAAUACCGCAUAAUACCCACGGGUCAAAGCAGCAAUGCGCUUGAAGAGGAGUUCGCGGCAGAUUAGUUAGUUGGCGGGGUAAUGGCCCACCAAGACGAUGAUCUGUAUCCGGCCUGAGAGGGCGCACGGACACACUGGAACUGAAACACGGUCCAGACUCCUACGGGAGGCAGCAGUGGGGAAUUUUGCGCAAUGGGGGAAACCCUGACGCAGCAACGCCGCGUGGAGGAUGAAAUCCCUUGGGAUGUAAACUCCUUUCGAUCGGGAAGAUAAUGACGGUACCGAGAGAAGAAGCCCCGGCUAACUUCGUGCCAGCAGCCGCGGUAAUACGAGGGGGGCAAGCGUUGUUCGGAAUUAUUGGGCGUAAAGGGUGCGUA
This 505-nucleotide ribosomal RNA is filed under the name uncultured Acidobacteriota bacterium. RNAcentral's name for it is "bacterial SSU rRNA". It matches the Rfam family "Bacterial small subunit ribosomal RNA", at positions 38 to 573 of the family's 1533-position model. The record is from RNAcentral. Lineage: Bacteria; Pseudomonadati; Acidobacteriota.